CCUACGGGAGGCAGCAGUGGGGGAUAUUGCACAAUGGGGGGAACCCUGAUGCAGCGACGCCGCGUGGGUGAAGAAGCGCCUCGGCGCGUAAAGCCCUGUCAGCAGGGAAGAAAAUGACGGUAACUGAAGAAGAAGCACCGGCUAAUUACGUGCCAGCAGCCGCGGUAAUACGUAGGGGGCAAGCGUUAUCCGGAUUUACUGGGUGUAAAGGGGGCGCAGACGGCGAUGCAAGCCAGGAGUGAAAGCCCGGGCCCAACCCCGGGACUGCUCUUGGCACUGCGUGGCUUGAGUGCAGGAGGGGCAGGCGGAAUUCCUGGUGUAGCGGUGAAAUGCGUAGAUAUCAGGAGGAACACCGGUGGCGAAGGCGGCCUGCUGGACUGCAACUGACGUUGAGGCCCGAAAGCGUGGGGAGCAAACAGGAUUAGAUACCCCUGUAGUC
This 439-nucleotide ribosomal RNA is filed under the name uncultured bacterium. Its description in RNAcentral is "partial 16S ribosomal RNA". It matches the Rfam family "Bacterial small subunit ribosomal RNA", at positions 338 to 795 of the family's 1533-position model. The record is from RNAcentral.